GAGGGGAGUGCUGGAUCUUGGGCUGUGUCCCUGAGCCCCAUGGGCUCCGGGGCCUGCACCGCUGGAAUUGCGCUCCUGAAGCUGCGCAGCCCCCU
Molecule: microRNA precursor, 95 nt
Filed under: Canis lupus familiaris (dog)
Lineage: Eukaryota; Metazoa; Chordata; Mammalia; Carnivora; Canidae
Description: mir-8799 microRNA precursor family
Rfam family: mir-8799 microRNA precursor family
Source: Rfam by way of RNAcentral